Sitophilus oryzae (rice weevil) is the source of this 291-nucleotide long non-coding RNA. RefSeq lists it as uncharacterized. The transcript has 2 exons. The record is from RefSeq and is a predicted model, not a curated record. Lineage: Eukaryota; Metazoa; Arthropoda; Insecta; Coleoptera; Curculionidae.
AACAAACAGAGCAAGAAAUGAACAAAUAACUACAUAAUGACUGAUAAUGAUAAGUGAUAAUAAUAACUUUAAUGAUAUGAAGGCUGAUGAAGGUAAUUAUAAACAUUAUUUUGAGUUUGUUUAAUAAAAUAUAGGAUACAAUAUAACUAAGCAAAAUCAAACAGUUUUAGACAACCAAUACAAGAUUUUAGAACUUGACAUCGUGAUAAACAAAUUGUACAUUCAGGAACUCGUUUAAAUAUUAUAGGUUGAUUGACGAAUACUCUACAGUUGAUUAGAGCCCAUGAUGAU